This 494-nucleotide ribosomal RNA is filed under the name uncultured bacterium. RNAcentral's name for it is "partial 16S ribosomal RNA". It matches the Rfam family "Bacterial small subunit ribosomal RNA", at positions 28 to 507 of the family's 1533-position model. The record is from RNAcentral.
GACGAACGCUGGCGGCGUGCUUAACACAUGCAAGUCGAACGGAAAGGCCUGCUUUCCCUUGUGGAUUGCGGGUACUCGAGUGGCGAACGGGUGAGUAACACGUGAGUGAUCUGCCCCCAACUUGGGUAUAAGCCUGGGAAACUGGGUCUAAUUCCCGAUAGGACUGCAGGGUGGUGCCUGUGGUGGAAAACGAUUUUCUAGUGGUUGGGGAUGAGCUCGCGGCCUAUCAGCUUGUUGGUGGGGUAAUGGCCUACCAAGGCGGCGACGGGUAGCCGGCCUGAGAGGGUGGACGGCCACAUUGGGACUGAGAUACGGCCCAGACUCCUACGGGAGGCAGCAGUGGGGAAUAUUACACAAUGGGCGGAAGCCUGAUGCAGCGACGCCGCGUGGGGGAUGACGGCCUUCGGGUUGUAAACUCCUUUCGACCGCGAGGAAGCCACCUGGUUGGAAGGGUGGUGACGGUAGUGGUAGAAGAAGCACCGGCUAACUACGUG